RNAcentral lists this ribosomal RNA (740 nucleotides) under uncultured bacterium. Its description in RNAcentral is "bacterial SSU rRNA". It matches the Rfam family "Bacterial small subunit ribosomal RNA", at positions 60 to 796 of the family's 1533-position model. The record is from RNAcentral.
AGUCGAACGGAUUUUGGAGCUUGCUCCAAAGUUAGUGGCGAACGGGUGAGUAACAUAUCGGAACAUAUCCGGAAGUGGGGGAUAACGUAGCGAAAGUUACGCUAAUACCGCAUAUGCCCUGAGGGGGAAAGGGGGGGAUCGCAAGACCUCUCGCUUUCGGAGUGGCCGAUAUCGGAUUAGCUAGUAGGUGAGGUAAAGGCUCACCUAGGCGACGAUCCGUAGCUGGUCUGAGAGGACGACCAGCCACACUGGAACUGAGACACGGUCCAGACUCCUACGGGAGGCAGCAGUGGGGAAUUUUGGACAAUGGGCGCAAGCCUGAUCCAGCCAUACCGCGUGAGUGAAGAAGGCCUUCGGGUUGUAAAGCUCUUUCAGCCGGAAAGAAAAUGCUUCUAUUAAUACUAGGAGUAGAUGACGGUACCGGAAGAAGAAGCACCGGCUAACUACGUGCCAGCAGCCGCGGUAAUACGUAGGGUGCGAGCGUUAAUCGGAAUUACUGGGCGUAAAGCGUGCGCAGGCGGUUUUAUAAGCCAGAUGUGAAAUCCCCGGGCUUAACCUGGGAACUGCAUUUGGAACUGUAAGACUAGAGUGUAGCAGAGGGGGGGUAGAAUUCCACGUGUAGCAGUGAAAUGCGUAGAUAUGUGGAGGAAUACCGAUGGCGAAGGCAGCCCCCUGGGCUAACACUGACGCUCAUGCACGAAAGCGUGGGGAGCAAACAGGAUUAGAUACCCUGGUAGUCC